UUGAGGCGAGGACGUAGGCAGUGGAGUUGAACCUCGUUAAAAUAUUGAGUUUGCUUCUCUCUUACCCUUACUCCUUAUAUUUACCAUUGUUUCGUAUUUUAUUCAUAUUUUAUAUUGUGCAUUUGGUUUAUAACUGUUAAUUUUUAAAUACAACCCAAUUCACCCUCCCUUGUGUUAGUCAUCUAGGCAACAUAAGGGACGUGCUGUCCUCACCCAAAACCUAGUAUAAAAGUCAAUCCCCAGGUACAAAGAACUCUCUCCAAUCUCUCUAAGUUUAAGCACAAACUACUAAAAAGAUAUACUGAUUUUGGCAUCAGAGACUUCCCAGUCACCACUAAGGUCUCCCACUCUUCGUGUUUGUUUAAGUGUGCAGGUGAAAACUCAAAGACCAGAGUUACUGGAAUCCGGUCCAAUGACGUGCGAAACACAAUGUUAAUAGAGGGUGUCGGAGGGUAAGAUUUUAGAAUGCAUAUGGCGAAGCCCUCUCAGAGUAACGAAAGGUUGUAAUCAGGAAGAAAGCCGAAACGAUGUGAUUCUUUACAUGUGAUGCCAUAUUCUUCUUCUCAGUUGAUACAACUAUAUAUAUUAUGUAUGGGAUUUACUCAGCAUUACGUGAUUAUAUUAAUCCUGCAUAACACCAAGAAUUUGAUGAAAUUAGAUGGUAUAGUUCUUCAAGUUUCGUUUUGGCAACUUCCAGAAGAAGGAAAAAAAAUAAAAGAAAAGCAAAGAAAAGACCAAAGAAGAAGAGGAAUGGUACUGAUCCAGAGAUGAAAAUGGUUAUUAUAAAAGGGCAGAGGCUGAAUGUUUUCACAAAAAGAUCUAAGAUGUAGCUUUCAGGUUUCUGCUGAACCUCUAGUCUCCAUACCAUUUUAUUAGGAGCUUGGUCGGUGCAUGGUAAUUCCUUCCAAGUUCCGAAUGCAGAAUCUCAAGAAAACAGAACGAGAAAAUGGCGCCAACAAUCACUUCACUCCUAGUCUUCACUUCGCCAUAAGAAUGAACGCCAGCCAUUCCAAGGACGAGUUCCUGACUAUAGGCAAUGGCGAAGGGGUCUUCUCAUUUUGAACAAGGAUGAGAGUACAUGCAAGUGUUCGAAUAAGGGAACUAAUCCGGUUUGCCGGGUCCUGUAUGGAAAAAAUCUGGCCCGGAUGAACCGUCUUAGUUUCUUACAAGAUUUUGGUCUCAGCAGCCUAACGCCCCUAUUCAAUGUAGGUGCCAAGAAUUAUCCAAAUUGAGGACAAGAUAAAUAGUUACUACUAUCAACGAUCCACCAAUCAAAUGAAGACGCGUGUUGCAACAACACUCCCAAUGAACUCUCUGAUCCGUAUACAAAAGCAAAUUGCAACAUAAAGGACACGAUCCUCAUCCUUUCCCCUUCUUUUAUAGGACAUUGGGCUACAACAUACACCAAAUGUUUAUAAUCAUAUGACUGAAUCGACAUUAGUUUUCAAGCUUUACUGAGAGUAUUGGAGAAGAACUAAUGCAAUGGACCAUACACAUGCCACAAUAGAAAAUU
Molecule: long non-coding RNA, 1513 nt
Organism: Juglans microcarpa x Juglans regia
Lineage: Eukaryota; Viridiplantae; Streptophyta; Magnoliopsida; Fagales; Juglandaceae
Exons: 3
Source: RefSeq, a predicted model, not a curated record